RNAcentral lists this ribosomal RNA (253 nucleotides) under uncultured bacterium. Its description in RNAcentral is "partial 16S ribosomal RNA". It matches the Rfam family "Bacterial small subunit ribosomal RNA", at positions 524 to 776 of the family's 1533-position model. The record is from RNAcentral.
UACGAACUGCGCGAACGUUAUUCGGAAUCACUGGGCUUACAGGGUGCGUAGGCGGUCUGGCAGGUCAGAUGUGAAAUCCCACAGCUCAACUGUGGAACUGCAUUUGAAACCUUCAGACUUGAGUAGACUAGAGGCAUACGGAACUUCCGGUGGAGCGGUGAAAUGUGUUGAGAUCGGAAGGAACACCAGAGGCGAAAGCGGUAUGCUGGAGUCUGUCUGACGCUGAGGCACGAAAGCCAGGGGAGCGAACGGG